RNAcentral lists this long non-coding RNA (17702 nucleotides) under Amborella trichopoda. RNAcentral's name for it is "long non-coding RNA (ATRI_LNC004702)". The record is from RNAcentral. Lineage: Eukaryota; Viridiplantae; Streptophyta; Magnoliopsida; Amborellales; Amborellaceae.
GGGUUUUUAGUUUUACAGCCGUCUCUCUCUCUGCUCUGGUGCACGGGCCAUCUCAUCUCUCCAUCCUCCACCUUCAAGUUCAAGGUCUCUCUCUAUUCCAAAAAUAACCGGUACUCUCUCUCGCCCUCCGUUAAAUCCCCAAGAAAGAUGCCCUCUCUCUUCCAAAGUCCUGUUGCUCUGCCAUAAAUUUAGGGUUUUCCAUAGAACAACAACCCUAUAAUACCAAAUAAGGGCAAGCAUCUCUACUGGUAUUUUUAUGCUUCGUUAUCUUUGAUUGUUGAUUUUCUGUUAAUUCGAUGUGUUAUUUCCAUGGUGCUAGGAUUUUUCUGGAUACUUUUGUGCUGUUAUGAAUAAUUGCUUGGUUAUGAAUUUUUUGUUUUUGACUAUUUCUUUGAAAACUGAAAGCAUAUAAAAGUUUGAUAUUCAUAUUUCAUUUAGUAUGUUUUUUCCUUUUUGGUUUAUUUUUAGGAUAGAAGUUUCUUUUUUGUCUGCAAGUAGUUCUGGUGAGUUGCUUCCGUGCAAGAAUACAGGCUCGAUUUGGUUCCCAUUAAUUUAUUUUUGGGUAUCUUGCAUUCCAAGAAAAUAGAGGAAUGGUUAAGUGGUAACAAAUAUUUUUAUUUCUAGUUUUAAUUUAUAAACUUAUAUUUCUAUUAAAAAAAAAAAACCCGAAGUCUUCCCCCGAAUUGGAUUGCUUCAUUCUUCAUGCCAAACCAGAGCAGACUCCUUAGCGAAUCUAACAACAUUGACUUAAACCAUAUCUUCCACCCCCAUAUCUGUCAUCGACCUCCAUUUCCUCAUAAAACUCCUCAUCCCCACCCAUCUACUCCCCUGCAUGUGGCCUAACUUCUUGAGGACCUUCCUCUGAGUAGUAUAAUCUCAAUGUUUCUAAUGCUUCCCUUCCCCAAUUAGAUCCUAAUUCUUUAAAGUGUAACCUUCAUGCACAACUAUCCUUACAACUAAAUCAAUAUGAGAAUAAAACCGUGGGAGUUCUAAAAUUAGUCAUACCAUUCUAUCAUUAUUGUGAUAACAUCGAGGCGUGAAUGUUGAGGGACAGGGUCUAUAACCCUAUAUGGGUUAUGGAUUAGGGGCCUAGUCCUUGGUGUGUACCACUCCAUGCAUUUUUGUGUCGGCUUCCCAUUAAACAUAUCAUCUUCUGCCUCACAUAUAUAAUCUAGCCUGCUAUGCCACAUCUCUAUCUAACCUCAAAAUACGUCUCCUCAUUCUCAAGCCUCCUCCCCUUUCUCUCCCUUCUCUUCCACUUCAAUGGAUAUGUCGGUAUCCCUUGAUAGAGUCCAAACGACCACAACACACGAUCUGACAUGUACCCCUCACAAAUGUAUCCACAUAUGAGGAACAUGCGACACAAAGCAGUAUCCUGAACUUAAAGGGCAUAUGCUCUGUCCUCCUGGGAUUCUAUUCCUAAGUCAGGAAAAUCAUCAUAUGUGGUCCAUAUGACCUAUCACAAAAAAAGAAAAAAAAAUAAGGUAAAUAACCUGCAACAAAAAUAAUUGAAAUUUAAAUAAACAUGAUCAGUGAAAACUUUUCUAUACUAACAUCAUUAUCCAUGCACCAUCGGUUUCUUGACGCCACACAAGACGGAAGUUGUAAGUGUUAUCCCAUACUCUAGGAGGGGCCCACCUGAGGGAUCUAGGGAACCCUGCAUAGAUGUCUUUGGGCUUUGAGCAUAACCAUUUGAAGUGCUUGUACUCCAAGCACUGGAAUGCAUGCAUAAAAAAAAAGUAUUACAGACCAAAUAUUUGUCAAAACCUUUAAAUAUCUAUCAAAAUAUUUAAAUAAUAGCAUUACCAUCAAUAGAGUGGCUGAUCCACUUAAGUGUUGGUGAUAAGGACAAAUAAUCUUUGACAAGGAUUGGACCAAAUAAGCUAGGGCAGCUGCAAAUAUAAAAUAGACACCGUACUGUCUGUGGAAUCCACAAAGAUUGUAAAGCUGAUAGGUACAAGAGGUAGGCACAGAUGUGUCAUAACAAGGCCUGCCAGUUACAGUUGUGUGGAAGCAGACUAAAUUUCUUCCUCAACCAUGUCAGUCGAAUAACAGAAUAAUUAGUAUCUUCUGGCAGCUCUCCUAGCAUCUAGAUUAUAAAUUUCUUGUAGUUGUCCACUCUCCUAAAAGUUAUAGGUACACCUGUCACCCUUAACCAAAUAAUGCUCCAUGCAUCUUCAAGAGUAGGCAAUAUAUCUUCAACAUUUAUAUUGAAGUGCCCAUUGUUUGUCUCUGCACGCCACCUCUCGACAAUAAUGGCCAAUGUGCCAUGGUUGUGGUGAGACAUAACAACCAUGGUUAGAGGAUACAACCCUAAUCCCAUGUCCAAGUCAAUUUGAGCAAUGUUAGAUAAGAACCAUAAACUUACAGCACUGACCUUCUCAUCAAUCCUGAGGGCCUUAACCCGUUCUUGAAAUAGAUUUAUGUGAUUAUAUUGAAGUGCCGUUGUUUGUCUUUGCACGCCAUCUCUUGGCUCUCAAGGCUAGGUUCCCCUCAUGACGUUAAUGCCGGAUUUUGGGGGUUUUAAGACAAAAUUAUUGGUUUCUUGGGCUUCCCCGGUCUGUUGUGUGACAAGCAAGCGAAAAGAAAGUGACAAGUAAGGAAACACAAAAGAAAGAAAGUGUGAGCACUUGGCAAAUCGUGCCAAGUGAUGUGUGCUUCGAGUCAGAGUUUAAUCGACCGAGAGGACAAUUGAGGUGUAGGGGUGAGCAACUCCUAAGAAGGUAUACAAUUAAUAAAAGUGGAAUUGGGCACAGCUCGUGCCUAGUUGAGCGCACCCCAAGUCGAGGGUGACACGAUCAGGGCAGAAUUAGAGAGAGUGUAGGUGACCCUCGAAAGUUUUUCCUCUUCUUUUUUUUUUUUUCUUUGAUGAACAGAGAGAAGCGGCAAAUAUUGAAUCACAAGCACAAAAAUGAAUGGAGAUUUUUUAUUUUUUUACAAAGUAUUUUUAUUUUUAUUUUUAAAGUAUUUUUAUUUUUAUUUUAAAAGUAUUUUUAUUUUAAAAGUAUUUUUAUUUUAAUUUUAAAAGUAUUUUUAUUUUUAUUUUUUUAAAAAGAAGAUACCUUAAAGGUGAAUUUUUUUUUAAAGUGAAGAUUCUUUUUUUUCUAUUCUUUUAUUUAUUUUUUUCGAAAAUGAAAUGACUUGCAAAAAGAAACUUUUGUAGCAAAAGUAAAUUUUUUUUUUAAACCAAAUAAACUUUAAAAGUUGUUUUCUUUAUCUUGCAAAUCAAAAUUUAUUUUCUCAUAAAUGAGAAAGGCUUUAAAUUUUUGUUUUUUGAAAGAAAGAUUGCCUUUAAAAGAUUUUUUUUUAUUUUUUGGGCGAAGAUGCCUAAAAAAUUUGUUGAUUCUUUUUUUGCGAAGUGAUUUUUUUGUUUUAAAAUAAAAAUGGUUAAAGAUAUAUUUUUUUAUUGGAUAAGAAAGAUGGCCUCAAACACUCAUUUCUUUUUUGUGUUUGGAGAGAGAAUGGCCUUACACAAAUGAAAACAACUUUUUCACAACAACUGACCUUUUUUUUUGGCAAAAGUGAUUUGUUUUUUUCGUUUGAAGCAAAUAGAUUUUUUUUUUUUGCGAUGGCAAAACCUAAAAAGAAGAAGUGAUUUUCCUGAAUUUUUAUUUUUAACUAAGAAAGAAGGAACAUAGAACAAAUAAAGGGCAAACAAAUUUUUUUUUUGGAAAGCAAAUUGGCCACAAACGUGUUUUUUUUUUCAAUUCAAGUGCUAAAUUAUAAGAGAAGAAAUUAAUCUUUUUUUUUUAAUGCAAAAAUGGCUUAGAAUGAAAAUUUUCUUUUGAAGGAAAAUAGACUCCUUUUUUUUUUUUUAAGAAAGACUUCUUAAAAAAGAAAUCUUGUUUUUUUUGCAAAAGAACAAAUUUAUUUAUUUUAUUUUUUUUGAAAAUGAGAAGGCCUCAAUUAUUAUUAUUUUUUUCUCUUUUAAAGGAAAUUCGUUUUUCUUUUUUUUUGAAGGAGAAGAGGCCGUUUUUUUUUUUUUCGUGGAAGAAGUGCGUUUUUUUUUUUUUAAACUAAUAGAAGGGCCUCUUUUUAGGAAAGAAGAGAAAGAAAAUCACUGGAACCCUUAUCCCUUUAGCAAGAUAAUAACAAGUUAACAACUUUUUGAUGGAAAGAAACAAAAAGGUGUGAUGGCCAUGAGCAAGAGAUCAACUUCCUCUUUUUAGGAAGAGAAAGAAAAAUGACCAGAAUCUUAUCCCUUUGGCAAAAUAAUAACAAGUAACAAAAAUUUUUAUCGAAUGAAACAGAGAGGUGUCAUGGCCAUGAACAAAAGAUCAACACAAGAAAGAAUCUUGUGUUCCCUACCUUUCUUUUCUUUUGAAUUAAGACUAAACACCAGGAAGCACAAAAAGAAAAAAACAAGAGCUAGGAAGCAAAAAAAAAAGAGACGGUAAGGUGAGAUGACAGGAUUGCAAUGACCUUAGAGACAUGAAAGAAAAGAAAAAGCAGAAGUGGCAAGAACUAGGGAAGAUUUCUUUGUUUUUUCUGAAAACCAAUCUUUAAUCUAAAACAAGUUUGUUUUAACGAUUUCACAACAAAUAUCACUAAAAAAACAUCCCUCUCUUUCUCUCGCUCUUUCUCUCUCUCUCGCAAAAAAUAUUAAGUGAGAUGAAGAUAGAGAAACAUGAGGUUUGGAAAUUUCCAGCCAAUAACAAUAAUAUAUAAGACCACUUGAAACUCCAGCGAAGUAAUAGGAAUGGAAAGACCAAAACAUAGAAGCAAGUUAGAGUAGGUAGAGAAAAAACAUGAACAAGGUGUUAUGUCUAGGGGUCUUCGAGUGCCCCUUUUUUUUUUUGAAUUAAUUUUUCUUCUUUUCAAAACUUGCUCCUCAAAAGAAGAUCUAGGUAUGUUUUUAUUUUUAUUUUUUCAAUUUUUUUUUGUGCACAGAUCUAGCUUGAAAUGCCCCAUGGUGGGCGCGUCAAACUGUUUACGAUGCAAAUCGGAGAGAUCUUCAAAGGAAGAUCCCUCAAAUCUGUACCACAAACUAAUUUUAAAAAGUGAUAAAGAGUGGGGAAAAUCAAAUUUUGGUAUGAUGCCAGAUUUAUUAAAAAACGAAUAAAUCCGCUCUUAGAUCAGUGGCAAAGCCAACAUCGAUCCAAAAAGCACAAAAGAUUGAAGAAAAAUAAAUAAAAUCAUAAAUUUAACAAAAUAAACGAAAAAUAAAGAAAAAAUGAUGGAAAAUACUUGGCCGGGCCCAUUGGCCAGGGGCACUCGAGGCCUCGCCUGUAUUAGAACCACAGUUGUGUACAUAUGUCCUUUGUUGUUUUCUCUUCAAACUUGACCAAAUAUUGGCUUGGUUGAAUUAGAGUUUUGAUGAUCUAGGCUAAAAGCUGGUUUCAAAAGAGGGAUUAAGGCAUAAGGUUGUUUCUUUAGAUCUAAGGUAAUGCUCACAGGUUUUCUCUCUGGGCUCUCUCUAUCUCUCAUAUAAAUGCUCACAGGUUUUCUCUCUGGGCUCUCUCUAUCUCUGGGUUAAUAAAGUCCAACCCUAAAUGGGUCACAAAAUGGGCUUAUAUAAAUGCUCAAAUCGUACCAGAAUGGAUACAUAUCAAUUUUAAACAGAUUUGCCCCCCAAAUUUCUAUUUGGGCGUAAAAAGAAGCCCAAAUCUGACCAGAAUUAGCAAUUUCAGAUUUUAGGUGAUUCAUGCGUUUUUGUUAUAUUGCCUACAGAAAUUAAGGUAAAAGUAAGCUGUUUUGCUAUUUUUACUUGAUUUAUUACUAAAGCAAUGGUAUUGUAGGAUUCUGGAUAACAGGAUAAGAAUCACGGACUAUGAUGGUUUAUAAUCAGGGGUUUUUUGGAAUAAUGUGGUCUUAAGGGUUGAAUAAUAUCACAGAAUUUGCCAGUUUUAAAAAUGGAGGUUUACAGGUUCCCCUCUUUGGCACUCACCUGCCCCUUGAAGAACAAGGAGCGCCGAAGAGUGUCUACUUCUUUGUCACUCACCUGUCCCUUGAAGGACAGGGAGCCCUAAAGAGGGGCAACUGUAGACCCCCAUUUUUAAAACUGACAAAUUUUGUGAUAUUUUUCAACCUUAGAACCACAUUAUUUCAGAAAACCCCCAAACCAUAGACCAUCAUAGUCCAUAAUCUUUAUCAUGUGAUUCAAAAUCUUGUAGGAUUACUGUUUUAGUACUAAAUCAAGUAAAAAUAGCAAAACAACUUAUUUUUACUUGAUUUUUGGUAGGCAAUAUCACAAAAUCGCGUGAAUCACCCAGAAUCCGAAACUGCUAAUUCUAAUAAGAUUUGGGUUCCUUUUGACCCCCAAAAUAGAAAUUUGGUUGGAAGAUUUGCUUGAAAUUGAUAUUUAUCCAUUUUGGUAUGAUUUGAGCCUUUAUAUAAGCAAAUUUUGUGACCCAUUUAGGGUUGGACUUUGUUAACCCGUAGGCUAGGAAAUAUGAAAGAUAGAGAGAGCUCAGAGAGAAAACCUGUGAACAAACACCCUAGAUUUAGAGAAGCAACCUUAUGCCUUAGUCCUCCCCUUUUUGAAACCAACUUUUAGCCUAGAUUAGCAAAACUCUAGUUCAACCAAGCGAAUGUUUGGUCAAGUUUGAAGAGAGAACAACAGAAGACUUACAUAAUUAGCCGUGGUUCUGAUACGGGCGAGGCCUCGAAGCCUCGGGUGCCCCUGGCCCGGCCAGGUAUUUUCCUCAUCAUCUCUUUUUUCUUUUUCUUAUUUUUCAUUUAUUUUGUUAGAUUUAUGAUUUUAUUAAUUUUUAUUCAAUCUUUCAUGCUUUUUGGAACGAUGCUAGUUCUGCCAUUGAUCGGAGAGCAGAUCUAUUCGUUUUUUAAUUAAUCUGAUCUCAUAUUAGAAUUUGAUUUUCCUCACUUUCUAUCACUUUUUAAAAUCAGUUUGUGGUACGGAUAUGAGGGAUCUUCCUCUCUGAUUUGCAUCGUAAACAGUUUGGCACCCAUCCUAGGGCAUUUCGAGCUAGAUCUGUACACGAAAAAAAUAAAAAUAUACUCAAAUCUUCUUUUGAGGAGUAAGUUUUGAAAAGAAAAAAAAUUAAUUCAAAAAAGAAAUGGCCACUCAAAAACCCCUAGACAAAACACCUAGUUCGUAUUUUCUUUCUACCUACUCCAACUUACUUAUAGGUUUUGGUCUUUUCGUUCCUAUUAAUUUGCUUGUGUUUCAAGCGGUCUUAUAUCCUUCUAUUAGUUAAAAAAAACAGCGCACUUCUUCUACGAAAAAAGUCUUAAAAAAUAGAAUAAGGCCUCUUCUUCUUUAAAAAAAGUAAAAUGAAUUUCCUUUAAAAGUGAAACAAAAUUUUUUUUUUGGCCUUUUCAUUUUAAAAAAACAAAAUAAAAUAAAUAAAUUUGUUUUUUUUAAAAAAAAAUUUUAUUUUUAAGAAGUCUCUUUCUUUCAAAAAAAAAAAAAUUUCUAUUUUCCUUCAAAAUAAAAUUUCAUUCUAAGGCAUUUUUGCAUUAAGAAAAAAAGGAUUAAUCUCUUCUCUUGUAAUUAGCACUUGAAUUAAAAAAAAAAAACUUUUGAGGCAAUUUUGCUUUUCAAAAAAAGAAAUUUGUUUGGCCUUUAGUUGUUCUAUUUUCCUUCUUUUCUUAGUUAAAAAAAUCCAGGAAAAUCUCCUUUUUUUUAUGCCUUUGCCAUCUCCAAAAAAAAAAAAAAACGAGGAAAACUUCAAAAAAAAAAAAAAAAAUCACUUUUUCAAAAAAAAAAAAGGUUAGUAGUUGUGAAAAAGUUGUUUUUAUUUUUGAAAGGGCAUUCUCUCCCCUAAUGCAAAAAAAAAAGAAGAAAAAGUGAGUGUUUGAGGCCAUCUUUCUUAUCCACUAAAAAAAAAAAUAUAUCGUUUGCAAUUUUUAUUUAAAAAAAAUCAUUUUUCUAAGAAAAAAAAUCAGCGGCCUUUUUUGAUCUUUGUCUAAAAAAAAAAAAAAAAAAAUCUUUUAAUCUUGCUUUAUAAAAAAACAAAAUUUAAGGCCUUUCUCAUUUUUAAAAAAAGAAAAUUGGCUAUGAAAGAAAAAAAAAAAAAAACAACUUUUAAAGCUUAGUUGGUUUAAAAAAAAAAAAAAAUCAUUUUCUUCAAAAGUUUAUUUUUGUAAGUCAUUUCAUUUUCACAAAAAAAUAAAAAAAUUGAAAAAAGAGUUUUCACUUAAAAAAAAUAGAAAUACUUUGUAAAAAAAAAUCUCUUUUCAUUUCUUUGCUUGUGAUUCAAUAUUUGCCGUUUCUCUCUAUUCUUCAAAAAAAAAAAAAAGAAGAAGAAGAGGAGAAACUUUCGAGGGUCACCUACACUCUCUCUCUAAUUGUACUCUGAUCGAGUCAGCCUCGACUUGGGGCAUGCUCAACUAGGCACGCGUUGUAUCUGGUUCCGCUUUUAUUAACUGUAUACCUUCUUAGGGGUUGUUCACCCCUAUAUCUCAACUAUGCUUUUGGUCGGUUGAACUCCGACUCGAAGCACACAACACUUGGCACGAUCGGCCAAGUGCUCACACUUUCUUUCUUGUGUGUUUGUUUGCUUGCCACUUUCUUUUCACUUGUGUGGUUCUUUACACACUUCUUGCACACAACGGAUCGGGGAAGCUCGAGAAACCAACAAAUAUUUUUAAAACCCCCAAAUCGGGCAUUAACGUUGUGAGAGGAACCUAGCCUUGAGAGCCGAGGCGGUAGGAUUCGCGUAACUUUAACUAUGAACGCCCCUCCGUAAUCCUUAGCCUCAAAGCCACUCUACACAUAAUAGGACUUGGUUGAUUCUUUUAACAGGUGCCAGGACCUACUCAGCCUAGCCGCAUUUCAAUAGUUAGGAGCCCAAUCAGACCUAGCCUAGCCAUAAAUUUAGGGCAAAGUUUUCUAGUGCUUAUCAAGGUUGAUUAGUCUUAGAUCUCAGUCCGGGUCCACACCCGAUUCGGAUUUUAAAUCUUCUGGGUCUUAAGUGCAGGCUUGUACCUAGCCUAGCCUAGGUCCAAACUAGGUUAAUGCCUAGGUCCGAACCUAGGCCCCUUUUUGGUCCAAGCCAAGGCUCGUGCCUAACCCAACCUUGAUCCAGUUCGGGUCUUCACCUGGUCUGAUAACCAAUCCUUCUAAGUCCAAGUCUAGGCUUAUGCCCAGCCUAGCCCAAGUUGGAACUAGGUUCAUUCCCAGGUCCCAUCCUAGGCCCCCUCUCGGUCCGAGCCAAGACUCGUACCCAUCCUAGGUCUUAGUCUAGGUCAUAGCCUAGGUCUAAGUAUAGAGUUGCAUCUAGAACUGGACUAGGUUCAUCUUAGCUCAAGGUUCAAACUGAAAUCCACAGAGUCUAGCAAGAUCUAUCCAGUCUAGUCCUAGAUUGUAUCUAGAUUCAGAGUUGUCCUUAGACGUAGACUAAGUCCAAACAAGGUUCACCCUCGGUCUAGGCCUCAGUUUAACCUGUUUUCAGUCUAGGUUUAGCCAAGUUCGAGUCUUAGUCCAACUAGGUCCAUUGAGGGCUCAAGCAAAGCGUAGUCUAGGUCCAUGUCUAAGCCAAGUCUAACCUUCUAGCUUAGCACAAGUUUAGGAGUCAUUGCCUUGGAUCAAACCAGAAUAAGGUCCAACUCUGCGGCUCCAGCCUAGUCUAGAUCCAGGGGACCUAGUCAGUCUGAGAGGCACUGUCAUAGUGCUACCUCACAGAUCCAUAGUACUCGUAUCAGUGAGCCGAGUCUCAACCUACAUGGAACCAUACCCAGUGGUCUGAGCCGCCCAAUUGGUAAUCCUUUGGGCCAUGAUUUAGAAGCCGUGGGCCAACAUGUUAGUAGGGUCCGUAACACCCUAAACAGUCGAGGAGUUAGGCCUGGGGCAAUCCUCUAGUACAUGGGGGUUAGCCUUACAUCUAGUCAACAUGCCAAGAGUAAGGCUCCGGCCCAGAUCGCUAGGUCAACCAAUCCCAGUCGGGUUAACCUCGGUGUUCAGGGGGCAAGUGGGUUCACACAUAGUUAGAGAAAGUCUACCCAAGCAACCCAACACCAGUAAAAGUCAGAGUUUUGACCUAACCAGGUAUCAAGAUAAUCCUAGGGUGCAUGCAUACUUUUAAGAACUGUUGAGCCGAGGGUGCACCAUCCAGUGUAGUCAAUCCAAGCAGGUUAGGUGAGAAGGCAUGCCCAACCUGUUGGCUCAAACCAGGAUAACCCUAGGGUGCUAGCUUGCCAAUCCAAUCGACUAGGGGCUAGGGGUCUAACUCUAGUCAUCACUCGAGCCCAGGUCUACCUAGGGGGCAGACUCCAUCUGGCAAUAACUAGGGACUCCCUUCACUCUUCCGGUCUAGUGUUGCAACAAGAGAAUAUCUCAACCCUAGGGUAUGAUCAUCCAGUCAAGGUCAGGGACAGAUGGACCUCACUACCCAAGGUCAGGGACAGAUGGACCUCACUGCCCAAGGUCAGACGUAUAGUCAUCGUAGCAGCUUGAGUUGUCCAUCCUAGUCAAGUGGUGUUCCUAUCCUGCAGGCCUUCUUGGAUGGUCACGUACUUCAAACUCUGAGAGAUGGGUUUGCUCUGACCCUAUUCCACUCGGGUGAGUUUAUAGGCCGACAACCAGCAUACCAAGUUCAACACACUCCUCAGGUUCAAUCCUUGGGGCAACUUUCUACAUGGGCUCAACAAUCAAUCUAUACAAGCCACAUACCACAAAUCCAGGUUCAACAGACCAUGAAACUGAGUCAGGUCACCGUUAUACCAACGACCCAAUUCAUCAACAUGAAAUGCCUUUAAGACUCUGUUGAGAGAAUGGGAAUGUGAGAUUUCUCAACUGCUAAAUCCUACGUACAAGAGACUCUAGGACACCUAGAAGAUCUACCAGUCGGGUUUGUGAGGCCACAAUUCAGAAACAAGUUUUCUAGGAAAGAGGACCUUGAGGCACACAUCAAACCCUAACUGUUAAAAGCCCAAACAUUCCGAGACCUACCCAACCAACUUAAGGUCAUGUUAUCUUGUAGCCUAUCAGAAGAGCCCUUGAUGUAGUAUUGAAAAUUCAUGAAGGAUAACCCUCAAGCAACUCCCGAUGAAAUGUUCAGGCAAUUUUCUUCCCGUUAUUAUGGGGAAAGACCAAGACCUGUCACCAUUGGUGAGUUAACAUCCAUCAAGCAAAAAGUCAGGCGAGUCUCCUUCUAACUUUAUAACAAGAUUCAGAGAGGCUGUUAUACGAGUCGCUGAAACUCCACUCCCUAAAUCUGUGAAGGUAGGCGUGGCAUUAGAGAACAUAACCCCUGAAUAUGUCACCUUCUUCAGUAAGGUGGUGAUCCCUUAAUCGUUUGACGUUAUGCUUGAAAGAGUAUCGCGAUAUGAGGAAGCCAAGGAUCAUGAGGCCAAAGUUUUUCAUAGCCUGAUGAUAGUCGACCCUCCACAAGAAGGAGAAGGGAAUGAGGACUUGACUAGUGAGGAACCCUCUCAAGAAGGAGAUGUGAACUUGAUCAAGGUGAACUUGAUCGAAAAAAGCGCCCCUUCUGCAAACCAUCAACGAGAAGAGACUAACACUGACUCAACCACAUGAAGAAUGCAGACUUUCAUGACAAGGGAAUUCACUACCAUUGAUGAUCCUUUAACCCAAUCAUCCCAAGUGAAUGCAAUAAAAGAUGAUCGACACAUGUGGGAUGUUGAAUUAGACUCACAAGGGAUCUAAGACGAACCUGAGCAUAAGCUGAGUCAACACUCCAAAACUAGUGAUUCUUGGAAUCAUAGAGGCAAGGCUAGUUCGAGGAUAGUUUUUCAAGAGGAAAGAAAACAACAACUUUUGGAAGAAAACUUAUCACCCCGAGAACCAGAACCACUAAGAAAGAUGACAUUCUAAAGGGUCUUAGGGGGCCUCUCGCACAACCUUCGCAAGAUUUCUUGAAUGAUCCACCAAUCUGGAAUGAAAACUGGAUAUUGAAAAUCCAACCAUGUUACCGCCUCAAUAGGCAGGCUCUCUAAGAGUCAUUAAGGACAUGAGCACAAUUCUGAUAACCGGGGCGCACCAUAUCAGGAAAGUUCAUCUCGUGAAGAACAAGUUUCUAACGGAAUAGAAAGCCCUGCAGGGGCAACCCUAUCAAACUACUUAAUAGGGGCAAUCUUCUCUCAUGAAGAUGGCGCAACAUGGACAGUUAAUGAGAUUGAGCCCUUGUUUGUUAACUCCCAACGUACCAUAAGGUCAUCCAAUGUCAACUCAGUCACUCUUUUCAUGCGAGAGUCUCGCCCGAGCUGAAGCAUUGAGAAGGAGCCUACUACGGAAUUAACUCUUGAAAAGAAACACAAAAUUUGGAAUGAAAGAGGCAAUCGAAAAGGAGUUAGGUAAUCACUCACCACUUGCAAGAAAUCAAAUGAGGCAUUCACGCCUCAAACUUCAGAAGGCAUUAACGCCUAAUGAGUAACAUAAAUUAUCUCAUUAAUGGGGAAAACCUAAUGAGCUUGCCCUUCCAUGCAAAAGAUUGAGGGAUUAUGAUACUAAGAGUGAUUCUUAGUCCCAAAAUCAAGAGUCGAGUGGGGCAAUUCAAAGGAUAAAUCCAAUGGGAACUCGACGACCAUUGUCAGAGAUAUUGGAUGCCAACUUAGGGUAAGGGAAAUCAGAGGAUGACUGAUAUUAGAACUUCUCUGCCACUUGGAUAAGGGAAAUAUAAUCAAAUUCUUACAUAGUCUUAAAACUAAAUGCCAAAAAAAAGAAGGAAAAAGCACCAUUGAUUCUUCUACUUCUCAUUCGUCAUGUUCUUCAAAAAUAAAGAAAAAGUUAUGCUAGGCUGAAGAUCCGAAAGGAACCCCAAGCGUUGGAAAAAAGGCAACCGGGCUUAACAUCCAAAAGGGACCUCGGGGCGAUGAAAUAAAAAAAAAAAAGAAACUGUUGGGCUUAAGAUAUGAAAAGAAUCCCAAGCGUUUGGAAAAUGCUAUCGGGUUGAACACUAGAAAGGGACCCCGGGGUCGAUGAAAAAGUUCUUUAAUUUCCUUCUAUUCUCCAAAGUCUUUUCUCUCUAAGCAUCUUCUCUUCCUUCUUCUUAAGUCAGAAUGGUGUCAAAAGAAAAACCAAUGAACAUUAGCCUGAUGGAACAUCGUUAAGGGCUUUGAUCAUCUAGACUUCAAAAGGUGAAUGGUGGAGGAACGAAAUCGGAAAUCCAAAGAGAUUUUGAACACCCAGGGGCAGUAUCUUGUAUUUUCAAAAGUAUGUUUUGCUUGAAAACUCCUGAGAACUCUCCUUGGAAUUGAAAUACAAGAGCUGAGGUUAUAUAGGGUCAUAUAACCUAUAGGGUCCACCAAAAGGGUCCACUAAAGGGGUCACAAGUGGUUAAACUGUAAGAACCACAUUUAAAAAAAAAAGAAAAAAGCUUCUUGGUGGCACAAGCCUAAACUGCUAAUCAAAAGAAAAAUCUUUCAUUUCAAACUGUCAACCACAUUUCAGUUCAAAAUGUUUAGCCUAGUGUUUUAAAAUGCGGCUGCAUCAUGCGGGAUGCGCUCGCAUCUGCAUUAGAAACAGGCGCAUAUACGCUUUUGACAGAUGUUGUUGCAUAUGCGUCGCAUUAGGCCGCAUCGUAGCCGCAUCCCGCAUAGGUCGCAUUGCACCGCAUCCCAUUGCUACAGUGUCCGCCGAAAUUUUUUUCUGUUUUGCCCCUUAAGGAGGGGCAAAAUGGCCUUUUUGACGAUCCAAAUGUUAAGGAAACUGUUUGGGGGGUAUUAGGGGCCCUAAACGAAGAUUUUCAACCAAUUUUGUGGCUUUUUUUGCAUCAAAUCGAGGUAAAAAAAAUUUAGGCGGAAUUUUUUUUUUCAUCGAAAUCUUCGAUUUGGCGGUUGUUUGAUACUUGGAUGUUCAUUGGAUGCCUUUGAUUGUUGAUUUGGAGAUGUUAGGGUGAAUUUGUGAUAAGAAAUCGGGGUUUCAGAGGUUGUGAAGAAAUCUAGCAGUGCUUCACAGAGUCGGUAAAUUUUUUUUCCUUCUUGUACAAUAUUUUAUACAUAUUUUUGGGGCAAUGUCUUCUUCCCAAUCUUCUAGUAAUAAGGAUCCGGCUUGAAAAUAUGCUAAACUAAAAAAUCCCGAAGAUAGAAAUUGUGUGAUAUGAAAUACUUAUAUGGGUGGAUAACUGGGUACAAAAUCUCCGACAGCUAAUAGUUUUGAAGUUAAUCCUUAGACUAAAAUGCCUACUAUCACAUAUAUCACCUUCAUAUUUUUUUUUCUAUGCAUUAACUUAUUUUUUUAGAAUUUUUUUAUAUUUAUUGACGGCAUCAUCGCGAUGCACCUGCAUCCGGGCCGCAUCGGCCCCCCACCGCAUCCCACAUUUUAAAACACUGGUUUAGCCCUGUAUGACAUAAAAGGUCGGGUGUAUUUGUCUAACCUCGUAUGACGUUAAAGGUCAGAUGUAUCCGUCUAACUCCGUAUGGCGUUAAAGGUCGGGUGUAUCUAUCGAACCUCGUAUGAUGUUGAAGGUCGGGUGUAUCCGUCUAACCCCAUAUGAUGUUAAAGGUCAGGUAUAUUUAGAAAACGUCUAGUCUCGUAUGACAUAAAUGGUCGGGUGUAUUUGUCUAACCCCGUAUGACGUUAAAGGUCGAGUGUAUUUAAAAAAUGUCUAGCCCCAGCCCCGUAUGACAUAAAAGGUCAGGUGUAUCCGUCUAACCCCGUAUGACGUUAAAGGUUGGGUGUAUUCAAAAAAUGUCUAGCCCCAUAUCACAUAAAAGGUCGGGUAUAUCCGUCCAACCCCAUACGAUGUAAAAGGUCGGGUGUAUCUGUCUAUCGCUGCAUGACGUUAAACUGCUUAGAGGGCUUUAUGGUUACAGGAGCUAAAACUGCUAACUAAAAAUUUGUUUUUGAAAAUAUCUUUCUCAUUUCAAAAUUUUCAUUAUAUGUCUUGUGUUUUAAAAAAACUUAAUUUCUUUGUUAAAAUCGUGACCUGUCCAAAGCUCCAGGUUCUAUUUCAAAAUUCCACCCUUGUUUUCAAAAUUUCUAAGUAGAGUUUUAAUAACAAAUGUGCUUGGACACUCGUAUAUAAUGAUUACGGCAUUGCCGCCUCAUCUCUCUCUUCAGAAUUGACCAGGCAAACCUUUUUCCUAAACAAGUAAAACCUAUAGAAGACCUUAGAAAACUCGUGACGUUAAGUGGCAUGGACAAAAAAUCCAACUCGAGUUUCAAGCUUGUGUAACUCACUAAUAUCUCACGCUGAAAACCCUAGGAUGAAAAUUCCUUAGGUGGGUGAGCAGGGAAUGCAAUAUCUUAAAAGGAUAGUUGGUGUGCUCUCUGACUACGAAACGUUAGGAUGAAAUUUAAAAUGCGUGCAUUAUCUUUGCCACUCAUCCGCUCUUUGAAGGACAAGGAGCGCCAAAGAGUGUCUACUUCUUUACCACUCACCUAUCUCUCGAAGGACAGGGAGUGUUAAAGAGGGGCAAUUGUAGACCCCCAUUUUUAAAGCUGGCAAAUUCUGUGAUAUUCUUGAACCCUUAGGACCACAUUAUUCUAGAAAACCUCCGAACCAUAGACCAUCAUAGUCCGUGAUCCGUAUCAUGUGAUCCAAAAUCUUGCAGGACCACUGUUUUAGUAAUAAAUCAAGUAAAAAUAGCAAAACAACUUAUUUUUACUUGAUUUUCGGUAGGCAAUAUCACAAAAUCGCGUGAAUUGCCCAGAAUCCAAAACUGUUAAUUCUAGUCAGAUUUGGGCUCCCUUUGACCUCCAAAAUAGAAAUUUGGUUGGCAAAUCUGCUUGAAAUUGAUAUUUAUCCAUUCUUGUAUGAUUUGAGAGGGUGAGACUUUGUUAACCCGUAGGCUAGGAAAUAUGAGAGAUAGAGAGAGCCCGGAGAGAAAACCUGUGAAGCUUUAGUCCCCCUUUUGAAACCAACUUUUAGCCUAGAUUAGCAAAACUCUAGUUCAACCAAGCCAAGGUUUGGUCAAGUUUGAAGAGAAAACAACAUAGGACAUACGUACACAGCUGUGGUUCUGAUAUGGCCGAGGCCACGAAGCCUCGGGUGUCCCAGACCAACUGGCCUGGCCAGGUAAUUUCCUCAUCAUGUUUGUUUUUCUUAUUUUUCAUUUAUUUUAUUAGAUUUAUGAUUUUAUUUAUUUUUCUUUAAUCUUUUGAUCUUUUUGGAUCGAUGUUGGCUCUGUCACUGAUCUAAGAGCGGAUCUAUUUUUAUUCAAUUUGUUUAAUAGUUGACUUAGCGAUGAUGCAAAAUUUGUUGAGCUUUGUUCCUUCACAAUAUGUUUAUGCUUGCUUCCAUCAUACCUAUCAUGUGCUUCAAUGGCUCCAUUGAUAUAAUGAUAAUGGCUUUAACGUUCAUUUUUCAUGUAGUUUAUUUGGUUUACAAGAAAAAUGUUAUUUAUGUAUGCUGAGAUGACAAAAUGCACAAUUGUUUUUUUUCCCAUAUUUUAUCUACUGUUUCUAUUGCUUGGAUUUCUACUUCUUUGUUUGGGUGAUUUAUCGUGGGAUUGGAUGUUCCACACUGGAUCUCAUCACGGUGGUUUAGAUUUCUUCUUCUUCGUCUUUCUUUUGGUUGGAAUUUAGUGUCGAUGUACGAGUUAGCUGUUCGCUUCCUUGAAUUGUGGGCUUGGAACUGGGUACCUUUUGCAGAUGCUUAGAACUUAAGCAUAAAUUGGGAAAUGACCAUAUCACAGGACUAUAGGCGUCCAUAUAUCUAAAUAUGUGGAGCUAUUUUUUGACCUCACCUCUAAAUUUGAAUCUUCAAUUUAUUUUACAUUUAAUUUUGGAAUAUGGCACAUUCCUCGAUAAUCUUGUGGACUUUAUUUUCCAUCUUAUUUUUUCUUCAUUUACAUAUCUCUUGUAGAAAGCUCGAGCAAUUAUGUUGGAGUUGCAAUAUGUUGCAAUUUCUCAAAUAAAUUGUGAUAUGACCACCACCCAAAGAGAUAAUAAUCAAUAAUUUAAUAAACUACUUAUUUAUUAGUUAUUUUUUGUUCGAUUUCUCCAAGAUGUACAUUGAUCUUACCAUCAAAAGAAAAACGAUAUGUAUUGAUCUUCAAAGAAUUCAUUUUGGUACAACAUAUUUAGUUUAUUGAUGUCUACAUAUAUAGGAAGGCUUGCUCUUGGAAGUUAUAAAGGGCAUGUGUUCAAUCACUUUCAUAAAGCCCUUGUUGUCCACACCCUUCGAUUCAUAUGCAUUACGUGGUCUUAGGAAGUUAUAAAGGGUGAUUUUUUUUUCCCUUUUCUAUAUUGAACUUGUUAUUAUUGUGGUGGUAUGGAGUAUGACACAGAUACGUCUUUUGAACUAUACAUGUUUUUCUAGUUGAAUUGAUCGAGUUUGCCAAUUGUAUCUAAAGUCUAAAUGUUUCUAUUACACCUCAUUAUGUCAUUCUCAUUCCAUGCUGCUGAUCCAGAAAGAAUCAUCAAAAAUGCUCUAAGAUUUCCUCCUAACCAUUAAGAAUCAUUCCUUAUAGUAUGGUGCCAGUGCGAAAGAAAUUGAUAGUGCUAUCCAGGUAAGAAGUGGGACAUAAUUCACGCACUUGUUCAGAGAAGAAGCCACGGAAGCUUGUUACAUGUUAUAUGUGCAACAAAGUGGGACAUAAUUCACGCAGUUGUUCAUUUUAAAAAAGUAGUGAUUCACACCUUGCAGGGGUAAAAUAUUGAUUAUGUUGUAAAUAUUGAUUACCUCAUACUCUCUUUAUCUACUUUUUUUUUUACUCUCACUACUUGAAUGACAAGUUAUUUUGUUUUUUAACUUGCUUUACAGAUUUCAAUGGUAGAUGCCAUGACCACGGGUCAGUCCUUGAAUGCUAUCAUUCAAGAUUAUAGUGGUACCUUUUAGGUAAACUUUUACUAUUAUGAUACUCUUCCCAAUGACAUGCAUGCAAGAGUUAAAUAUAUU